UACAGAGGUCUCAAGCGUUGUUCGGAUUCAUUGGGCGUAAAGGGUGUGUAGGUGGCGCCGUAAGUCGGGUGUGAAAUCUCGGGGCUUAACUCCGAAACUGCAUUCGAUACUGCGGUGCUUGAGGACUGGAGAGGAGACUGGAAUUUACGGUGUAGCGGUGAAAUGCGUAGAUAUCGUAAGGAAGACCAGUGGCGAAGGCGGGUCUCUGGACAGUUCCUGACGCUGAGGCACGAAGGUCAGGGGAGCAAACGGG
This 253-nucleotide ribosomal RNA is filed under the name uncultured bacterium. Its description in RNAcentral is "partial 16S ribosomal RNA". It matches the Rfam family "Bacterial small subunit ribosomal RNA", at positions 524 to 776 of the family's 1533-position model. The record is from RNAcentral.